RNAcentral lists this long non-coding RNA (459 nucleotides) under Phoenix dactylifera (date palm). RNAcentral describes it as "long non-coding RNA (PDAC_LNC007886)". Lineage: Eukaryota; Viridiplantae; Streptophyta; Magnoliopsida; Arecales; Arecaceae. The record is from RNAcentral.
AUCCCGUGAGAUCAGGCGUGAGCCCAAGCAUCAAGUCAUAGCAUACCAUGAAGCUCCCACGUCCAUCCGGAUCCACAUGAUCAACUCCCUUCCUAAGAUCCAGCCACUUGCGAGCCGACCGUCCGUUCCGAGCCGCAUCCAAGGAUCCAGCCGUCUCAGCCCGGAUGACCGCCUAUCCUGUGAUCGUGCCCAGCAUCCAUUUCUCUUCCCGUAAUCCCAGCGUCCGACUGCAAGCGUGAUCCAAGCAUCGCAUCCAGCCGCCCGUUUCUCUUCCCAACGGUCCCACAACAUCCCUCUUCCGAGUUCCAGCUCCUUCCCGUGAUCCCAGCCUCCACCACGUCUGUGAUCUUCUUCUUCCGCCCGUCCCAGCCACUCGUGAAGCCAUCCAAUCUUCUAUUCCCAGCCCACAGCAUCCCGUGGCAUCUUCCAUCUUCAGCUCAUCUUCUUCCGUCCACCUCA